Molecule: ribosomal RNA, 1006 nt
Filed under: uncultured bacterium
Lineage: Bacteria
Description: bacterial SSU rRNA
Rfam family: Bacterial small subunit ribosomal RNA
Source: RNAcentral
UGGGGAAUAUUGGGCAAUGGGCGAAAGCCUGACCCAGCAACGCCGCGUGAGUGAAGAAGGCUUUCGGGUUGUAAAGCUCUGUCCUAGGGGACGAAGGAAGUGACGGUACCCAAGGAGGAAGCCCCGGCUAACUACGUGCCAGCAGCCGCGGUAAUACGUAGGGGGCGAGCGUUGCCCGGAAUGACUGGGCGUAAAGGGCGUGUAGGCGGCCGAUUAAGUGUGGAGUGAAAGUCCUGCUUUUAAGGUGGGAAUUGCUUUGCAGACUGGUUGGCUUGAGUGCGGAAGAGGUAAGUGGAAUUCCCAGUGUAGCGGUGAAAUGCGUAGAGAUUGGGAGGAACACCAGUGGCGAAGGCGACUUACUGGGCCGUAACUGACGCUGAGGCGCGAAAGCGUGGGGAGCGAACAGGAUUAGAUACCCUGGUAGUCCACGCUGUAAACGAUGAAUGCUAGGUGUUGCGGGUAUCGACCCCUGCAGUGCCGGAGUAAACGCAAUAAGCAUUCCGCCUGGGGAGUACGGCCGCAAGGUUGAAACUCAAAGGAAUUGACGGGGGCCCGCACAAGCAGCGGAGCAUGUUGUUUAAUUCGAAGCAACGCGAAGAACCUUACCAUGUCUUGACAUCGAGGAAAAGGUCUAGAGAUAGGCUGUGCCUUCGGGCAUCCGAAGACAGGUGGUGCAUGGUUGUCGUCAGCUCGUGUCGUGAGAUGUUGGGUUAAGUCCCGCAACGAGCGCAACCCUUAUGGUCAGUUACUAACGGGUAAAGCCGAGGACUCUGACAAGACUGCCGGGGACAACUCGGAGGAAGGUGGGGACGACGUCAAAUCAUCAUGCCCCUUAUGACAUGGGCUACAAACGUGCUACAAUGGCGGCUACAAAGAGGAGCGAGACUGUAAAGUUGAGCGGAUCUCAAAAAAGCCGUCUCAGUUCGGAUUGUGGGCUGCAACCCGCCCACAUGAAGUUGGAGUUGCUAGUAAUCGCGGAUCAGCAUGCCGCGGUGAAUACGUUCCC